RNAcentral lists this ribosomal RNA (253 nucleotides) under uncultured bacterium. Its description in RNAcentral is "partial 16S ribosomal RNA". It matches the Rfam family "Bacterial small subunit ribosomal RNA", at positions 524 to 776 of the family's 1533-position model. The record is from RNAcentral.
UACGUAUGUGGCAAGCGUUGUCCGGAUUUACUGGGCGUAAAGGGAGCGCAGGCGGCGCGCCAAGUCUGAUGUGAAACCCCGGGGCUCAACCCCGGGCAUGCAUUGGAAACUGGCGGGCUGGAGUGCCGGAGAGGUAAGCGGAAUUCCUAGUGUAGCGGUGAAAUGCGUAGAUAUUAGGAGGAACACCAGUGGCGAAGGCGGCUUACUGGACGGCAACUGACGCUGAGGCUCGAAAGCGUGGGGAGCAAACAGG